RNAcentral lists this long non-coding RNA (269 nucleotides) under Equus caballus (horse). RNAcentral's name for it is "lncRNA (ENSECAG00000052950.1)". Lineage: Eukaryota; Metazoa; Chordata; Mammalia; Perissodactyla; Equidae. The record is from RNAcentral.
CACUGUGGGAACCUGGAACGCCUCCUGGAGACGUGACUCACAGAAGUAUGGGGCCCCCUCUAUGACCGGGUCCCCUGGAGUUUUUAAUUCUCAGAUUUGAUCACCCCGAGCCUCCAGCAAUUCAUCAAUUACGUUUGGGUUUUCCCACCCCAGUACUGGUUCUGGCAGGGAUUCUUGCUCACGGGUUAAUGCUCUGUCUCAGACUCAUCUCGUAAACUCCUGCACACAAGCAAUGGACCUGCCCCAAUGAACUUUUCUCCAUUCUCUGA